Haemorhous mexicanus (house finch) is the source of this 2730-nucleotide long non-coding RNA. RefSeq lists it as uncharacterized. Lineage: Eukaryota; Metazoa; Chordata; Aves; Passeriformes; Fringillidae. The transcript has 3 exons. The record is from RefSeq and is a predicted model, not a curated record.
CUUAGGAUGGGAGGGAGAUGGGAUUGUCAGUGCUGGGUGUCUGGAAGCUGUGCUAGGAGAUGCUCCUGGACAUUCCCCCAGCUUUGAGGGGGUUUAGGACAUGUGAGGCCAAAGAUGGGGGUUGUUGGAGGUGGGAGCUGGUGUUUUCUAAUGGCAUUGAGAGAUUUUAACAGCGCUGGUGAGGACAAACACUGUUACAGGUACAAAAUAACAGCACUAGUCAAAAGGCACAACAGCCCUGUGGUGCACACAAUGGAGAGGAAUUGGGAGCUCUUGGAUCAGAUUUUGACUGUGCCACAGACCCCCAGUGCUGCUUUCAGGCAGUCACUUAAUCUCUGCAUCCACCACCUGUGGAGCAGCCAGGCUUGGAACAGUUUGUGUCUCUGGAAGCAUGUAUCUAGUUCAGCUGUUAUUAUCAAAGUUAAAUAUUAAAGAAAUAUUGUGUUAUCAUAGGAUAAAGCCAUGCCACACCAUUUUCACUGUGAACUUUGUUCUUUUGCUAUUACAUUUUCUUUACAUUACAUUUUUCAGGAAAAACAAUGUUUUCACUGCAUGAAAGUAAGUUAGGCAGAAAUUCAUGGUGCACGUUGUGCAAGCUAGACUUGUAGAUUUGAUGUCUGGCACUAAGAGAUGCAUGUUAAAUGCCACUAGGAAGAAUUCAGGGCUGGUUGUUCAAUAAAAUGAAGCACAAGUCUGGGCAUUGAAAGUAAACAAAUAACACAGGACUUUGUAGAGAUCAGCCUUCCAAAGCUGUUUGGAAAGUUCCAUAAUUGGGUCUCUCUGUGGGCACUCCUCAUCCCCUUGGUGACAGGCAUGCUGCUCUGAAUUUGUUGUUCCAACUUCCAUUAAUAUUCUGUGUCAGACAAGGAAAUAACUUAGAUAAGAUCAAUCUUCAAACAUGUUUUUCAGGAAGGAACUAAAGAGCAGUCCUGAAAAAUAUCUACUGGAAUGGAAAAAUUCUGAUCUUUGGGAAAAUAAAGGAAUUGCUGUGUGAGAGGAAAAGGUCAAUACAUUUGGAGGACAGGCUGGCAGUACUUCUCUCCAGAUGUACCAUUUGGCACAUUAAGCAAUUCUUUUCUUAGAAGGGGAACCUAUGUUUUUGCCAUGUAAUGCAAAACACCAAUGGAAUCACUACAUAAGCAAAAUGCCAGUAAUGGUACAGUGGUCCAGCCACAAACAUUGGUGAAGGACAGAAAAGGAGCAAGGACAUUCCUCACAUCUCCCUGCCACUCCCUUCUUCCCAUCAGCAGAACAACCCUUUCCCCUGCCUGAAGCUUCCUAUGGGAUGAGCAGCAGAACAAGCCUUCCUCCAGGUCUUGUGGCCAAGGGAGGAGAAGGAGACUGGCCAGGCAGAUCCCAAGUGUUUCCUUGGCAGGGCUGGUCUUUGCCCCAGGGAAAGGCUGGCACCUUGGGGAGAGAGCUGUGCCCUGCCUGGCUGCCCAGCCUGGCCCCUGCCUUGGCUUCCCUGGGGUUUUUCUGUUUCUUACAACAAAUGUCCUGUAAUCCAAGCUUUCUGUAAGUGGGGUCAUGCUGCUCUGCUCAGUAGAGUUUCAGUAGUUAGCAGGUUUCUUUCUAGUUUUUUCCUGCCAUUCACCAGAAAUCUCACCUUUAUUCCUCCCACCUUAAAUAAGUCAGUUCUGGCUUUUGCCUGUCCAUGCAGUCAGAAAAUGAUAUUUGCUGAUUACUCUCCCCCUGCCUAGAAGCAAUGGAAAAGCAACAGUGAAAAAAAAAGAGUGAUUUCUCUCCAAGUUUCUAAUUAAAUGGGGUUGUGUGGCCUUUCCAGUUUGAUUGACUCUGUAAUUAAUGACUAGGUGAGGCAGGGAAGUUCUUUUUCUCUGGGUUUUUUCUGUCCCAUGAAUGCUGGGGAAGAACGCUAGGAAGGCACACAGUUGUGAGAACACUUUCCCUCUCCUGUUGGUACCAUUCCUAAAAACUGCUCCUGAGAGGAGCAAAAUUUCAUUCUUUCUCCUCUAGAGCAUUUCUGCAAAGAAGCCAAUCCUUGGUCCUGCUCAGUCACUGGAGGUAAAAAGAUAAAUAUUAAUGCUGUGCCCUGUUUCAGUUUUUCUAAUUUUUUUUCUAUUUUUUAUUACUCUUUGAAGAAAACAACCCAGGGCAAAACAUGGUUUUGAAGGUUUGCAGCUGCCCUUGGAGCUGAAGUGGAGAGAGAGGCACUGCAGUAGGGCUGUGAGCUCAGCCAUGUGGGCCCAGCAUGGAGGGAAUGCACCUUUUAAAAAAUACACUAGCUAAAUGUUUCAAUGUGUAUUUAGUCCUUUCCCACUCCUAUUUGUGUUGCAGGAAGUGAUCCUCUGCUACCUCUGGGGUACCUGGGGUGGGGGGAUUGAGGUAGACUAUGGGAUUGCCACGGGACUGUUUCUUCUUUAAGGCAAAUAUGUUAAAGAUUGAAUUGGUGUGUGAAUGUAACUCUCAGCACUGGCACUGCUUUACUCACCAGUGUGUUAUCAUUAGCAGCCCACGAAAGAAAUGUGGAUUAGGCAAUCAGCCUGUGUAAGGCUUUUCCCUGUGGCACACCAGCUACUCUUCAUGUUUGCUGUAUUUUCAUAAUAAUUGAACUCAACAUACUCUCCAUUCCAAAGUUCAUUCCAUUUCUUAGUACUUUUCUGUUAGAGGUGGCUUUUCACACCUGGCUGUCAUCCAAAUUGCAUGUUGAAGGCAUUUUUGAGGAAACUUGAAGAUUUAGAGUGCUAAUAAAGUGCUGCCUGCUAAAAUAAA